GGGUAGAAAGAUGUAAAUAGGGUUUAGCCAUAAACUUCUGGUUUAGGACUGAUUCCCCCUUGAGCCUUGAGUUGGCCUUGGCAACAAGGUGCUUCUAGAAGAAAAAUGGAGUCCAGAUACAACAAAAAAGCCAGUCCCUCACUCUGUAAAUUGGAAAUGGAAAUAGUUAUGGCCUUAUGGGAAUAGCACCUAAAGCAGCCAUAAACGAAAUCCUAUCCCAUGAAUAACAAGUUUAAGAGUAAAGGGGAAAAGGGGAAACUUGAAAAUGCCAAGCAAUGGGGCUUUAAGGGAUCUUAGCUUAUUUUGUUGCGAUGACAGGUUUCUUUCACUCCUGGAGGCAUACCUCAGUCAGCUGCAGAAAUAUGAGGGAGUUAGGUUGGUAUGUGAGGAUAUCACUGGAGGUCAGGAACAUGCACCAAUUCCUGCUACGAAUUUGGUUGAUGACCCUUUUUCCACCCACAGGCAAGUUGAAUUGGGGGUUUGCAAUUUGAAUCCCCUAUUUUAUUGUUGAGAGUAAAUUCUAGCCAUUUCUAGCCGUGGACUCUCAUAAGGAGGGAGGAGCUUAAGUUCUGGCCUCUUGCUUCCCACAACUCACAUAGCUUGUAGAUAUAAAGGAACCUUAGGAAAGAAGUUUGGUGGAAUUAAACUACUUUAAAAAUAAACUCUAUUAUACUUGACUAAAUAACAAGGACCAGGAGACUUUACUGAUUUUUACCUCUUUCGGUUAGACUAGUCAAAUGAGAGUUUGAAAAGCUCACUAAUAUUUUACUUGUGUACUCUAUUUUGGUGGUAGUUGAUCAACCAUAGUCACUAGUGCAAAAGAUAAACAUCAUGGCCAAAGUUCAUAUGGGUGCCUCUAUCUAGAACCAUCUAUCCCUGCUGAUAGCUUCCAGAAGACAGGAACACAUCAUUCAACCUUCAAAAAAAUUACUGGAUGAUGCUAGAAUGUUGUCUGAUAUUCAGAAGUUCUACAAUGUGAAUGUACAGGAGCUUCCACCAAAUGUUGCUGAUUUUCUCUGAUGAAUUAAUUUUGUGUUCUAUGUCAACAAGUCAUUAGGCCUUUUUGUUUUUGACAAGUAGUAUCUUAUGAUCUCUUUUUUUUUUUUUUUUUACCACAUUGGAGAUUAAAGGACGUCUGAUAUGAUGCCAUUUGUAAUGGAUUCUAUAUAUUUUGUUUGAUUAAUU
Molecule: long non-coding RNA, 1185 nt
Organism: Gastrolobium bilobum
Lineage: Eukaryota; Viridiplantae; Streptophyta; Magnoliopsida; Fabales; Fabaceae
Exons: 3
Source: RefSeq, a predicted model, not a curated record